AGUAAGGUCACUUUCCAAGUUCAAAGAUCAUUCUCAGCACACACUGAGAACAUGCUGGGGACCCUCUGCACUCUCAUCAUUGCUUUAACAUGUAUGAAAGGUGUGAGAGGAGCGACUGUGGUGACACAGACGCCUCCUGUUGUGACAGUGAGGAAAGGAGAAACGGCCACCAUGGACUGUAACCUAGGGAGUGAGACUGGCCAGAGUGCCCGAUGGUACAGACAGAUCCCAGGAGAAGUUCCUCUAUAUAUGCUUCGAGUUCGUCAUGACUGGAGUGCACCCAAAUAUGACACUGGGUUCCCCUCUUCAAGACACACGGCAACUCAUCAGUCAACAUCAGAUUACCGUUUUAGAAUUAGCAAUGUUGAAGAAGGAGAUUCUGCAGUUUAUUACUGUAGCACAUGGGACAGCUCUGCUAAAGAGUACGUAUCACAGUGAUUCACACUGUUACAAAAACCUCCUCAUUAACACUUCUGCUUUUGCUCUCACUGAGAUGCAUGGACUGACAAUGUAGCCACCAGCAAGAGUUUCAGUCAACACAUCAUUAUUUGUCAGUAUCUGCACUAUAAUCUAUUUUUCUAUAAAUGAAUAAAACUAGCAGAUAUUACUGUUUAAUUACAAUAAUGUUAACACCAAUUACCCUUGUUGGUACAGACAGAGCCCAGGCAAAGUUUCUACCUGUGUUUUACAAAAUUUGACACUGGUUCCCAUCUCAAGGACACACAUCCAGUAUCGGUCAACACCAGAUUAUUGUUUAAUUAUCAGAAGUAUGGAAGAAGAAAGAAAUUUACUAAUGAAAAACUGAGGACACCUCUGUCGAUGAGAAUUGAAGUGAUUCAAACAUUCAACAUCUUGAAUUAAAUAGUAACGGUUUUAAUAAUCUCAGCAUUGGUUUUUGAGAUUUUACAUCACCAAAAGUAAAAAAACAUAUUCAAAAAAUAAUCAAAUUAAACUUAUUAAUACUGUGCUUAUUAUCAAAUGUCAUUCCAUGAAAUGUGUUCCCAAGUGCUAUGACUUAAUCUCUAGAAAAAGUAAUCUGAUGUCAUUCACAUAAAUGUGAUUUUGGUAACCAAACAUUUUUUGUAAAUGAUGA
Non-coding RNA from Xiphophorus maculatus (southern platyfish), 1093 nucleotides. Lineage: Eukaryota; Metazoa; Chordata; Actinopteri; Cyprinodontiformes; Poeciliidae. The record is from the annotation of a RefSeq genome assembly.